UACGGAGGGUGCAAGCGUUAUCCGGAUUUAUUGGGUUUAAAGGGUGCGCAGGCGGUAAGAUAAGUCAGUGGUGAAAUGCUGCAGCUUAACUGUAGAUGUGCCAUUGAAACUGUCGUACUUGAGUUAUCCUGAGGUAGGCGGAAUGUGUAGUGUAGCGGUGAAAUGCUUAGAUAUUACACAGAACACCGAUUGCGGAGGCAGCUUACCAAGGGUCGACUGACGCUCAGGCACGAAAGCGUGGGGAUCGAACAGG
RNAcentral lists this ribosomal RNA (253 nucleotides) under uncultured bacterium. RNAcentral describes it as "partial 16S ribosomal RNA". It matches the Rfam family "Bacterial small subunit ribosomal RNA", at positions 524 to 776 of the family's 1533-position model. The record is from RNAcentral.